GCAAGUCGAGCGGACAGAAGGGAGCUUGCUCCCGGAUGUUAGCGGCGGACGGGUGAGUAACACGUGGGUAACCUGCCUGUAAGACUGGGAUAACUCCGGGAAACCGGAGCUAAUACCGGAUAGUUCCUUGAACCGCAUGGUUCAAGGAUGAAAGACGGUUUCGGCUGUCACUUACAGAUGGACCCGCGGCGCAUUAGCUAGUUGGUGAGGUAACGGCUCACCAAGGCGACGAUGCGUAGCCGACCUGAGAGGGUGAUCGGCCACACUGGGACUGAGACACGGCCCAGACUCCUACGGGAGGCAGCAGUAGGGAAUCUUCCGCAAUGGACGAAAGUCUGACGGAGCAACGCCGCGUGAGUGAUGAAGGUUUUCGGAUCGUAAAGCUCUGUUGUUAGGGAAGAACAAGUGCAAGAGUAACUGCUUGCACCUUGACGGUACCUAACCAGAAAGCCACGGCUAACUACGUGCCAGCAGCCGCGGUAAUACGUAGGUGGCAAGCGUUGUCCGGAAUUAUUGGGCGUAAAGGGCUCGCAGGCGGUUUCUUAAGUCUGAUGUGAAAGCCCCCGGCUCAACCGGGGAGGGUCAUUGGAAACUGGGAAACUUGAGUGCAGAAGAGGAGAGUGGAAUUCCACGUGUAGCGGUGAAAUGCGUAGAGAUGUGGAGGAACACCAGUGGCGAAGGCGACUCUCUGGUCUGUAACUGACGCUGAGGAGCGAAAGCGUGGGGAGCGAACAGGAUUAGAUACCCCUGGUAGUCCACGCCGUAAACGAUGAGUGCUAAGUGGUUAGGGGGGUUUCCGCCCCUUAGUGCUGCAGCUAACGCAUUAAGCACUCCGCCUGGGGGAGUACGGUCGCAAGACUGAAACUCAAAGGAAUUGACGGGGGCCCGCACAAGCGGUGGAGCAUGUGGUUAAUUCGAAGCACCGCAAGAACCUUACCAGGUCUUGACCUCCUCGGACGACCCUAGAGAAAGGGCUU
Molecule: ribosomal RNA, 977 nt
Filed under: Bacillus sp. (in: firmicutes)
Lineage: Bacteria; Bacillati; Bacillota; Bacilli; Caryophanales; Bacillaceae
Description: bacterial SSU rRNA
Rfam family: Bacterial small subunit ribosomal RNA
Source: RNAcentral